Long non-coding RNA from Leopardus geoffroyi (Geoffroy's cat), 2316 nucleotides. RefSeq lists it as uncharacterized. The transcript is spliced from 2 exons. The record is from RefSeq and is a predicted model, not a curated record. NCBI's taxonomy places the organism in Eukaryota, Metazoa, Chordata, Mammalia, Carnivora, Felidae.
GUUACUGAGUUCCACUUCCACAGGUGGUGGACCAGAGGGCUUGGUUCGCUGGACCCUCCCAUUCACUGGUUCAAUCCUCGCCUCUGCAGGAGGAGAAGAGGGGCCCCGAGCUCCAUAGGCUCCAGGUCACGAGCCCACCCACUCAUAGCAGGGUAGAGGUGGAAAUUCCUCUCCAUUUCUGCCUGAUCGUUUUGUGUGUCAAGAUGAAGACAGCUACCAAAGCCCCCCAGAUGAGUCCCCCUCCAGCAAAGCUUGGAAAGAGCAGAGGAAGGACAAGGAAUUGCUGUCCCGGCGUCCCUCUUGCUUCUGUCCAGCAUGUUUAUCCACCCCCUUCACCAGGCUCUGGAAACUUCUCCAGGUAAGAGGUCCGGGUAAGAGGCCUCUCAUUCUGCUGAGGAGGAGGAGGCUGAAAGAGAGAAAACGAAACAAAACAAAACAAAACCCCACAAAGCUUCAUCUCCUUCCACGACAGGAAGUUCAAGGUGAAGAAGGGAGAACAGACAGGGAGAGAACAUGUAACGACAUAAUGAACGUGGGACAGAGUCGCCCUUACACAUAACUCUUCCAAGGCUGCCGUCCAAACGGCAGGAAGUCAAGGGCAGCACUUCUGAUCCCUAGAUCUUUCUCUGGCACUCUCGUUCACAGCAAGUCGGUGUGUUAUUCAAGGGCCUCGCUCCAUACCAACCGCUUUAGGAAUCAGAUUUCUGGGAUCCUUUAAUUAAAGUAUCGAGACACGGGGUUAAGAUGCACGACUUAGCAGAAAUGUGGACUGCGCCCAGCACAGCCGGUGGUCUGUUUGGAACUAGUGAAGGCACAGGAGGGUCCUGUCCUGGCUUGCGGGCGUGGGGCUCCGGCUCUAACGUCCGGUUGGGGGCUUGGGGGACGGUGUCCGCUGAGCUGGAGAGCCUGAGUGGGAGCUCUGGGCCGAGCUCCUGGAGACUGAGCCCCACUGCCCUUGAGAAGUGUCUGUAUGUGGAUGCCUAUGGAAAUACCCCAGGCGCCCAGGGAGCAAGAGGGGGGCUGCCCGGCCUCAGUCACGCAGUCCACCUGCCAGUUACUCGGCUUGUGUGUUCUCAGCCUCUGGAUGGAUGAGCUUUCCCAGGGCCCUCGCGGCUCCCAGGAUUUACCCUGCACACUUUUAUUUCUCUGAAUCUGCUAGGCCAUCCUCAGGGCUCCUAUGGCUUGGAUCGUAUCGGUGACCCGGGAACUAAAAGCCCUAAGGUAUCUUUUUAAAAGAGAACUAUAGAUUUGUAUUUAUAUAUUUUUAUAACACGCUGAUAUCUAAGCAUGAAUGUGAACCUACCUCCUAUUGAAAGGCUGCCUGGCGGUGGAGAACCCACCGCACCCAUAUUCGGGGACCAUCCCGCUCCCAUGCAUAUCAAGUCCAGGCUCCCGUGAUCUGUGGAUAGUAACGAGUCGCCUAAAUAGCAAUGAUCCAGAUUUCACAGGCUCUGACCACCAACCACCCCCGCCCCCCCACAGACACACACACACCAACACACAGAAGACAGGAUUUUCAUCCCCUGUGCCACCCUCCAAGAAUAUCUGUGGGUCCCGAGAGGUGUCUCACGGGUGCUCGCCACAGCCCUGCCAUUGUUCUGCUGACGCCCCACCAACUCCACUGAUGGUCCGGGUCUGUGCCCCCCACCCCCAAGAGAACAUCCAAGUCGUCCCUGAGUGCCCUGACCCCCACAUUAGUGGAGGAAACAGCCCUCUCCUGCUGUGUGAUUCCUCCUCCCUCAAAGCAGAACCCCUUCCCCCACCCCCCCGGACCCCAUGCAUCAACUCCUACAGCCCAGCCUGAAGACCUUCUCGCCUGGAGACUGAACGCAGAUUUUCAAUGCGGAGCUACGGACAGUUCCGGAGACAAAUACCGCUGUGGCUUUCCCUUUCAGCUUCUCCCCCAGCUACCUGCCUUCCUCCCCCUUCGGCUGAAGCUCCCCGCCCCCCAAUUCAUGCCGCCCAAAGCCAUGAGUCUGCCUGUCAGGUCUGGAUCCUAGCUCAUGUCCAGGUUAGGACCCAGGUGACAUUCUUCCCUUCGGGCUAGUCAACAAAAAGUAGAUCCAAAAUUGAGUUGAGGAGCAGGAAUACUCUCGGCAGCGUCUCCCUUCCUUGAAUUUUGGGACAGCUCCUUCUUCAGAGCUAAGUAUUCAGGGACUAUCACUGGGCUGUCUCUUUAGUCCUGUUAAGUAUGUGCGUGUCAACGAAUCCAGAAUAUUGCAUGGAUACUCUGUGAAAAUAAGCAGCAAAGAGGAGUCCAUUCUGUUCUUCCAGUGACCAAGAGUCAGAUGAGAUCUUAUUAAAUGUAAUCAGCCA